Molecule: non-coding RNA, 380 nt
Organism: Pelodiscus sinensis (Chinese soft-shelled turtle)
Lineage: Eukaryota; Metazoa; Chordata; Testudines; Trionychidae
Source: RefSeq, a predicted model, not a curated record
CUUUAUCCUCCCACGCUCAAACUGAAACUCCAAAAAUCCAUUAUGGGGAAGACAAAAAAAUCAUAUUGACAUGUACAGUACUUGCAGACUGGGAAUGAUUGGGAAGCAAGAUACUGUUUCCAUCAGCUGAGCAAAGCUGCCGCCUGACUAAGGAAGGGUUAAAGAAACAACAAAUAUCCCCUCAAGAAAUUCCAUGAAAAACACUGAAGAUAAGCACAUGGAAAACUCAAACAGCAUGCCUUCUGUUAAGUAUGUGACAGAAAUUUCCCUGCUUGAGGGACGCAUAUGAAGGAUCUCUUUAUUAUGUACUGAAAAGAGAUCUCCUAGGUGGAUCUGCAACAUGAAUUUAAACUGGUUGGAACAAGAUGCUUUAUGGAAUA